CAGCAAAUAAUGUUACUGUUUUGAUUUCAUAAUAAUCAGGGUGAGCUACAAGUUCAUUAUGAAAAGGUAAUUCAUGCGUGCCUAGACCUAUUUCUUUACCUAGGUCCAGUCUCUAAUUGCUGGUGAGAAAU
Small nucleolar RNA from Sorex araneus (European shrew), 131 nucleotides. Its record names the gene SNORA72. It matches the Rfam family "Small nucleolar RNA SNORA72". Rfam says of the family: U72 is a member of the H/ACA class of snoRNAs. The snoRNA gene is located in intron 4 of the ribosomal L30 protein gene in human, mouse and chicken. Lineage: Eukaryota; Metazoa; Chordata; Mammalia; Eulipotyphla; Soricidae. The record is from Ensembl.